This is a non-coding RNA of Physcomitrium patens, 800 nucleotides long. The record is from RefSeq and is a predicted model, not a curated record. Lineage: Eukaryota; Viridiplantae; Streptophyta; Bryopsida; Funariales; Funariaceae.
AUCGAUAGGGGUCUGGUCGUGGGAUUCCUCACUCUUUUAUUUGUUGGUGUUUUCUUUGUGCAAAAGAGAAGCUCCGCAUCAAUCGAGAUUGCGGCCAAGAAUCUCCAUCUCUUCCUGUGUAGUACGAGCAGCUUGGAGGUUGGGUUUUUGGUUGCAGCAUCAAGGACUAUGCAGUGACGAACUGUGCCUCAUUGAGUAGAGCCGUAUUAAGCAAAUAGAAGCGACGAAGCUACGAAGAUGGAGUAGCUGCUAUUGCAGCGGUGUGCUAGCAGUGGACUGCCAGUGGUGUUUUUUUUCUCGUUGACGGCUCUGUAGUAGGAGCGUCAAAUCUGAUUUUCAUGAACUCUAGGCGCUCUGAAUCAGUGUCUUCCUGCUCCUAAAUGAGGUGCUGUGAUGCAACGCUCUCUUGCGAAAGCGGUGUUGUUUGCUAUGGUGCAGCAGUGGACUGGAAAGAGGGUGCUCUUGCAUGGUGUGCGGAGAGUCACCUAGCACAGUUCUUUAUUUUCUAGGAAGUCUUCCUUGAGCUUGCUUGAGCAGUUGUUGUUGGAGUUAUUGUCAACAACUGGGAUAAGUAAGACAAUGCAGUAGCAACAACAAUGUACGACGAGGAGCUCCAAAAAUUGGGAAGAUCUAGAAGGUUGUUGUUGUUGACUGUCUGCCAUAGCACAGCAUCACUGAGCAUCUAGACAGCUUGGAUUCUUCCUCCCAUUUGUUGAUUACGAUUCAGCGGUGCUGAUCAAUUUUGUGCUGUUCUUGUCUAUUUUUGCGUGUUUUUUGUAACAACGGAAGCGAUUCUCGGU